Molecule: ribosomal RNA, 496 nt
Filed under: uncultured bacterium
Lineage: Bacteria
Description: partial 16S ribosomal RNA
Rfam family: Bacterial small subunit ribosomal RNA
Source: RNAcentral
GACGAACGCUGGCGGCGUGCCUAAUACAUGCAAGUUGAGCGAUGAAGAUUGGUGCUUGCACCAAUUUGAAUAGCAGCGAACGGGUGAGUAACGCGUGGGUAAUCUGCCUUUGAGCGGGGGACAACAUUUGGAAACGAAUGCUAAUACCGCAUAACAUCUUUAAACAUAAGUUUCAAGUUUGAAAGAUGCUAUUGCAUCACUCAAAGAUGAUCCCGCGUUGUAUUAGCUAGUUGGUAAGGUAAAGGCGGACCAAGGCGAUGAUGCGUAGCCGAACUGAGAGGGUGAUAGGCAACACAGGAACUGAGAGACGGUCGAGACUCCUACGGGUGGCAGAAGGAGGGAAUCUUCCGCAAUGGGCGAAAGCUUGACGGAGCAACGCCGCGUGAGUGAUGAAGGUAUUAGGAUCGUAAAACGCUGUUAUUAGGGAAGAACAAAUGUGUAAGUAAAUAUGCACGUCUUGACGGUACCUAAGCAGAAAGCCACGGCUAACUAAGUG